GAUGAACGCUGGCGGCGUGCCUAACACAUGCAAGUUGAGCGAUCUUCUUCGGAAGAGAGCGGCGGACGGGUGAGUAACGCGUGGGUAACCUACCCUGUACACACGGAUAACAUACCGAAAGGUAUGCUAAUACGAGAUAAUAUGUUUCAUUCGCAUGUUUGAAACAUCAAAGCUCCGGCGGUAUAGGAUGGACCCGCGUCUGAUUAGCUAGUUGGUGAGGUAACGGCUCACCAAGGCGACGAUCAGUAGCCGACCUGAGAGGGUGAUCGGCCACAUUGGAACUGAGACACGGUCCAAACUCCUACGGGAGGCAGCAGUGGGGAAUAUUGCACAAUGGGCGAAAGCCUGAUGCAGCAACGCCGCGUGAACGAUGAAGGCCUUCGGGUCGUAAAGUUCUGUCCUCAAGGAAGAUAAUGACGGUACUUGA
Molecule: ribosomal RNA, 427 nt
Filed under: uncultured bacterium
Lineage: Bacteria
Description: bacterial SSU rRNA
Rfam family: Bacterial small subunit ribosomal RNA
Source: RNAcentral